This 512-nucleotide unclassified non-coding RNA is filed under the name Melitaea cinxia (Glanville fritillary). Its description in RNAcentral is "misc RNA ENSMCXG00005001421.1". Lineage: Eukaryota; Metazoa; Arthropoda; Insecta; Lepidoptera; Nymphalidae. The record is from RNAcentral.
AACCCACUUUGAUAGUAGCUUGAAAUGUCUUGCAAAGAAGUCUUGUAGAGCGAGGUACCAACACUUCCAGCAUAGCGAUGUAGAAUCUUUCUUACUAUCAACGAAUGGUGCUUUAAAAAAAUAAUCCUCGCAGUUCAUAGCGUAGCUGACUCGACGUGUGAUCGAAUAGUCGCUGAGAGAUUCAAACUCCUAUCAUAAUCAAACUUUCAUCUUCUAAUCUCGUCACUACCAAAAAUACAGACACAAUGAAAACAAUAUCUGCAUCACUUGUACCCUGUACCUGCAUUCCAACAAAGGUUACAAGCUUCUUACAUGGCAUUUUCUUCAUUUAACACAACUUUAAUAUGCAUUCAAGCUUGACAUUUUAGUACACCCCCGAAGACGGUAUUCUCUUGUGUUCUCUGCAACAGUUUUUCAUCAACACAGUUGUUUCUUUUAUGUUGUAUACAAAGAUACAAAUAAAACCUAGGGGAAACUUGGAAGAAUGAGUCAAAUCCCGCAGCACGUAGUAA